RNAcentral lists this ribosomal RNA (254 nucleotides) under uncultured bacterium. RNAcentral's name for it is "partial 16S ribosomal RNA". It matches the Rfam family "Bacterial small subunit ribosomal RNA", at positions 524 to 776 of the family's 1533-position model. The record is from RNAcentral.
UACGGGGGGAGCAAGCGUUGUUCGGAUUUACUGGGCGUAAAGGGCGCGUAGGCGGUCAGCACAAGUCAGUUGUGAAAUCUCCGGGCUUAACUCGGAAAGGUCAACUGAUACUGUGCGACUAGAGUGCGGAAGGGGCAACUGGAAUUCUCGGUGUAGCGGUGAAAUGCGUAGAUAUUGCUCGGAAGGCCAGAGCCGAAGGGGCCCUACUGGUACGUAACUGACACUGAGGCACGAAAGCGUGGGGAGCAAACAGG